Molecule: ribosomal RNA, 1036 nt
Filed under: uncultured soil eukaryote
Lineage: Eukaryota
Description: SSU rRNA
Rfam family: Eukaryotic small subunit ribosomal RNA
Source: RNAcentral
UCCUGCCAGUAGUUAUAUGCUCGUCUUAAAGAUUAAGCCAUGCAUGUGUAAGAGCAGCUAACAACGGGAAUCCGUUGGAAAGUGAAUCUGCGAAUAGCUCCGUAAACGAGCAAUAAGCUACCUGAGAGUAUGACAAGGAUAACGCAACCAAAUGUAGCGAUAAUACUUGCAACAAAAUGUAGUAGCCAUUUGAAUGCGCACUACAGUCACCCUUCGGGUGCGAUAAACCAACAAAUCGGUCUCUCAGACGCGUUUCUUAUCUAUUAGUUUGUUGGUUGGGUAAGUGCCAACCAAGACAGUUAUGGAUACGGGGAAUCAGUGUUCGGUUCCGGAGAGGGAGCCUUAAAAAUAGCUACCAUAUCCAAGGAUAGCAGCAGGCGCGAAAAUUACUCACUUCUAAUACCUAAGAGAAGUAGUGACGAGAUAUAACGACUCCCCUCAAGGGGAGGUACCAUCUUUAAGGUGGUUGGGAAUGGUUUCAAUGUAAACUGUUGUGAGAGUAUCAAUUAGAGGAAAAGUCUGGUGCCAGCACCCGCGGUAAUUCCAGCUCUAAGAGUGUAUACUAAUACUGCUGUAGUUAAAUCGUUCGUAGUCCACAUGUACAAAAGCGUUGUUUCUGGCUCGUGUUUCUCCAAACUCAACCUCCCUUCGGGGUUGGAAGAGUGGCCUUCGUGCCAGGGGAUUCACUCUAACGCACAAAAGAUCUUCGGAUCUUGCGGGGUCUGUUAACUUCGUCGAGUAAAUUUCAACCCUGAAAAAAUCGGAGUAUUCAUUACAGGCAUUUUGCUUGAACACAAAAGCAUGGCACCGGUUUGUGGUCCUUCGGGACCAAGUAGGGUAAUUAGGAAGAGGGGGAGGACCCAUGUACUCAAUCCUGAGAGGUGAAAUUCGUUGAUUGAUUGAGGACAAACUAAUGCGAAGGCUGUUGUCAGGUCCACUACAUUCCUAUAGAUCAGGAACGAAAGCCAAGGGAUCGAAGAUGAUUAGAUACCGUCGUAGUCUUGGCUGUAAACUAUGCUAUCAGAGGAUUGGACGA